CGCGGGAUGGAGCAGCAUGGUAGCUCGUCGGGCUCAUGACCCGAAGGUCGGAGGUUCAAAUCCUUCUCCCGCUACCA
This 77-nucleotide transfer RNA is filed under the name Peptoniphilus genitalis. RNAcentral's name for it is "Peptonophilus genitalis tRNA-Met". It matches the Rfam family "tRNA". From Rfam's summary of the family: Transfer RNA (tRNA) molecules are approximately 80 nucleotides in length. Their secondary structure includes four short double-helical elements and three loops (D, anti-codon, and T loops). The record is from RNAcentral. Lineage: Bacteria; Bacillati; Bacillota; Tissierellia; Tissierellales; Peptoniphilaceae.